Small nucleolar RNA from Ictidomys tridecemlineatus (thirteen-lined ground squirrel), 68 nucleotides. Its record names the gene SNORD73. It matches the Rfam family "Small nucleolar RNA SNORD73". From Rfam's summary of the family: U73 is a member of the C/D class of snoRNA which contain the C (UGAUGA) and D (CUGA) box motifs. U73 is encoded within the introns of ribosomal protein S3a and contains a 12nt region of complementarity to a conserved sequence in 28S ribosomal RNA. U73 is therefore thought to function as a 2'-O-ribose methylation guide for pre-rRNA. NCBI's taxonomy places the organism in Eukaryota, Metazoa, Chordata, Mammalia, Rodentia, Sciuridae. The record is from Ensembl.
AACAGGUGAUGAAAAAAAGUUUCGGUCCCAGAUGAUGUCUAGUGAUAAUUAAACAUUUUUCUGAUGUU